GCCAUCUUGAACAGUAAUGCUAAUUUAAAGUUAUAUACCUCGAAAAAACACCCUAUAUAUGGUAUUUUCAAACGUUGAAAAAUCUCAAUCUGUCAUAAACUAAUAUUUAUGCAUUGCAGGAGUUCAAAAUAACACCAGACGCAAUUCAACAAUAUUAUCAACUAAUCGAAACGAGAAAUCAAAAUUCGCCAUUAUUAUGACUAUAUUGAUAUGCCAAAGAUCAUUUUCGUAUACUGAAUUGAUACUGGCCAAACUUUUGCGAAUUAUAUUACGUAUGAGCAUAAACGAGUGAUGCAAAUGCACGUAUAAUCUUUCUAAUUUAUCAAACAAGAUAUAAAAAACCAGUCUUUAUGUCAAAUAUUCCAAUAAACAUAUUUGCAUCAUUCUAUACAACACUUCGAAAGGAGACAUACCAUCAUAGAUAUUUUUGUUUAGAUUGUUGUUAGUGUUAUACAUAUUUACUUAGUGUUAUAUGUGUUUUUUCAUUCAGAAACUGUUGAUCAUCGAAUGUAUCUGUUUUAAAUCCGUGCCACAACCAGAUUUUUUGAUCUCUAUUCAUUACAAAACGACUCAGCAAUUGAAGACUCAACUGUUUCUUCAAAUUUCAAGUAUUUAUUCCAAAAACUGAAUACAUAGUAGCAAAUUUGGAAUAUCGAAAUUAAAUAAAAAUAUGGAUUUUCGGUUCCAUUUACCUACAAUAAUUGAGUUGGUAUGUUUUGGAGUGAUGAUUUUUUGUCUUUAUUAUUAAAUCAUUAUUUGAAUGUUAUUGUCGAAUGUUCUUUGAUGAGUUUUUGUUUCUUCAUUAAUUGUAAGGAGAGUUUAUAACAAUACAAGUGUUCACAGUAGUAGAUUAAUACAGUUAGCUGUUUUAAAUGUUUCAAUGUCCACUUUUAAUUUUUGUUCAUUUGCAGAAGACAUGUUGACAAUUUGUAUCUAUAUCAUUGUGAUUAUGCAAAUGAUAGUCUUUGUAGUGAUAAUACUUGUUCUUUAUUACCUCUUUCAGUUGAGACAUACUAUGAGUGUCUUGAGUAGCUGAUAGUUAAUAAUUAUUACAAUAUAAUUGAAUAAAUUUGAUGUGAGCUGAAAAGCCAAAUAAUUUUCGAAUAAUAUUGAUUCUUCUAUUCUGAAUAAGUGAGAAGAACUAUUCUCAAUCUGAAAAUUUAAAUAACGAUUGUGAAUCAGAGCAGAGUUCAAUAAUGAUGGAAGAAAUUUUGAAAAUAUUUUCACAUUCUCACAUGAUUUUACUAUUGUCAUUUGUAGUAUUAUCAAUUAAAGAGAUAGGUGCUAUUGUAUACAGGUCUAUAAUUAGUUUCCAAUGUUUAAAUUGGUUAAAUAAUCAUUAAUAAUGAAAAAGAAACUAUUAUGCUAUUUUGACGAAAAUGUUUAACCUAUGAUAAUUUUACUUUCAAUAUUUAUUCCACUUUUAGGUAUUGAUAUUGUUGUAGAUCUCAAAUAUGCCAAAUCAUAAAUAGUCUCUCUCAAUUUCGAAUAUUGAAAUGUGUAUUUUUUUAGACGAAUUUUUGUGAAAUCAAAAGAAAUGAAAAUAAGCUUUUACUUAUUUCAUAACCAAUAUUAUAUAAUAUCUAAUAUCUAUAAUAUAACUAUUUCGGUUAUGGAAAAAUAGUAUUGCAUUCUAGUACUUUUAGUUGCUAUUGUGAUUAUGACAGGUGAUAUCGAAAUCACUAUUCCUAUACUCAAAAAUUAGAACUAGAAGUUUAACAUUCUUUAAUUGAGAAAUGUGUUUUUGAUUGUGAGUAAUUCUACAAUUUGUGACUUGUAUUCUCAAUAUAUCAAUUAAUAACGA
Molecule: long non-coding RNA, 1804 nt
Organism: Harmonia axyridis
Lineage: Eukaryota; Metazoa; Arthropoda; Insecta; Coleoptera; Coccinellidae
Exons: 2
Source: RefSeq, a predicted model, not a curated record